GAUGAACGCUAGCGGGAGGCUUAACACAUGCAAGUCGAGGGGCAGCAUAGGGUAGCAAUACUCUGAUGGCGACCGGCAAACGGGUGAGUAACGCGUAUGCAACCUACCCUGUACAGGGGGAUAACCCGGAGAAAUUCGGACUAAUAUCCCGUAAUAAUAUCCGGAGGCAUCUUUGGAUAUUUAAAGUUCCGACGGUACGGGAUGGGCAUGCGUAACAUUAGCUAGUUGGUAAGGUAACGGCUUACCAAGGCGACGAUGUUUAGGGGACCUGAGAGGGUUGUCCCCCACACUGGUACUGAGACACGGACCAGACUCCUACGGGAGGCAGCAGUGAGGAAUAUUGGUCAAUGGGCGCAAGCCUGAACCAGCCAUCCCGCGUGAAGGAAGAAUGCGCUACGCGUUGUAAACUUCUUUUCCAGGGGGAAAUAAUCCUGUCGUGACAGGACUUGACGGUACUCUGGGAAUAAGCAUCGGCUAACUCCGUG
This 485-nucleotide ribosomal RNA is filed under the name uncultured bacterium. RNAcentral's name for it is "bacterial SSU rRNA". It matches the Rfam family "Bacterial small subunit ribosomal RNA", at positions 28 to 507 of the family's 1533-position model. The record is from RNAcentral.